AAAGCGUGCGUAGGCGGCUGAUUAAGUCGGAUGUGAAAUCCCUGAGCUUAACUUAGGAAUUGCAUUCGAUACUGGUCAGCUAGAGUAUGGGAGAGGAUGGUAGAAUUCCAGGUGUAGCGGUGAAAUGCGUAGAGAUCUGGAGGAAUACCGAUGGCGAAGGCAGCCAUCUGGCCUAAUACUGACGCUGAGGUACGAAAGCAUGGGGAGCAAACAGGAUUAGAUACCCUGGUAGUCCAUGCCGUAAACGAUGUCUACUAGCCGUUGGGGCCUUUGAGGCUUUAGUGGCGCAGCUAACGCGAUAAGUAGACCGCCUGGGGAGUACGGUCGCAAGACUAAAACUCAAAUGAAUUGACGGGGGCCCGCACAAGCGGUGGAGCAUGUGGUUUAAUUCGAUGCAACGCGAAGAACCUUACCUGGCCUUGACAUAGUAGAAACUUUCCAGAGAUGGAUUGGUGCCUUCGGGAAUCUACAUACAGGUGCUGCAUGGCUGUCGUCAGCUCGUGUCGUGAGAUGUUGGGUUAAGUCCCGCAACGAGCGCAACCCUUUUCCUUACUUGCCAGCAUUUCGGAUGGGAACUUUAAGGAUACUGCCAGUGACAAACUGGAGGAAGGCGGGGACGACGUCAAGUCAUCAUGGCCCUUACGGCCAGGGCUACACACGUGCUACAAUGGUCGGUACAAAGGGUUGCUACCUAGCGAUAGGAUGCUAAUCUCAAAAAGCCGAUCGUAGUCCGGAUUGGAGUCUGCAACUCGACUCCAUGAAGUCGGAAUCGCUAGUAAUC
RNAcentral lists this ribosomal RNA (781 nucleotides) under uncultured Pseudomonadota bacterium. RNAcentral's name for it is "bacterial SSU rRNA". It matches the Rfam family "Bacterial small subunit ribosomal RNA", at positions 562 to 1343 of the family's 1533-position model. The record is from RNAcentral. Lineage: Bacteria; Pseudomonadati; Pseudomonadota.